Molecule: ribosomal RNA, 274 nt
Filed under: uncultured bacterium
Lineage: Bacteria
Description: partial 16S ribosomal RNA
Rfam family: Archaeal small subunit ribosomal RNA
Source: RNAcentral
AAACCAGCACCUCAAGUGGUCAGGAUGAUUAUUGGGCCUAAAGCAUCCGUAGCCUGCUCUGUAAGUUUUCGGUUAAAUCUGUAUGCUCAACAUACAGGCUGCCGGGAAUACUGCACAGCUAGGGAGUGGGAGAGGUAGACGGUACUCGGUAGGAAGGGGUAAAAUCCUUUGAUCUAUUGAUGACCACCUGUGGCGAAGGCGGUCUACUAGAACACGUUCGACGGUGAGGGAUGAAAGCUAGGGGAGCAAACCGGAUUAGAAACCCUGGUAGUCC